GAUGAACGCUGGCGGCGUGCCUAAUACAUGCCAGUCGAGCGAACAGACGAGGAGCUUGCUCCUCUGACGUUAGCGGCGGACGGGUGAGUAACACGUGGAUAACCUACCUAUAAGACUGGGAUAACUUCGGGAAACCGGAGCUAAUACCGGAUAAUAUAUUGAACCGCAUGGUUCAAUAGUGAAAGACGGUUUUGCUGUCACUUAUAGAUGGAUCCGCGCCGCAUUAGCUAGUUGGUAAGGUAGCGGCUUACCAAGGCAACGAUGCGUAGCCGACCUGAGAGGGUGAUCGGCCACACUGGAACUGAGACACGGUCCAGACUCCUACGGGAGGCAGCAGUAGGGAAUCUUCCGCAAUGGGCGAAAGCUUGACGGAGCAACGCCGCGUGAGUGAUGAAGGUCUUCGGAUCGUAAAACUCUGUUAUUAGGGAAGAACAAAUGUGUAAGUAACUAUGCACGUCUUGACGGUACCUAAUCAGAAAGCCACGGCUAACUACGUG
Molecule: ribosomal RNA, 497 nt
Filed under: uncultured bacterium
Lineage: Bacteria
Description: partial 16S ribosomal RNA
Rfam family: Bacterial small subunit ribosomal RNA
Source: RNAcentral